GGAAGGAUCAUUACCGAAUUGUCGACACGAGUUGUUGCUGGUCCUCAAACGGGGGCAUGUGCACACUCUGUUUACACAUCCACUCACACCUGUGCACCCUCUGUAGUUCUGUGGCCUGGGGGACUCUGUCCUCCUGCCGUGGUUCUAUGUCUUUACACACACACACACUGUAAUAAAGUCUUAUGGAAUGCAUGCCGCGUUUAACGCAAUACAAUACAACUUUCAGCAACGGAUCUCUUGGCUCUCGCAUCGAUGAAGAACGCAGCGAAAUGCGAUAAGUAAUGUGAAUUGCAGAAUUCAGUGAAUCAUCGAAUCUUUGAACGCACCUUGCGCCCUUUGGCUAUUCUGAAGGGCAUGCCUGUUUGAGUAUCAUAAACACCUCAACUCUCAUGGUUUUACAUGAUGAGCUUGGACUUUGGAGGUCUUGCUGGCCUGUGGUCAGCUCCUCUCAAAUGAAUCAGCUUGCCAGUGUUUGGUGGCAUCAUAAGUGUGAUAACUAUCUGUGCUUGUGGUUCUCCACCUGGUAACCUUCAGUGAUGAAGGUUCGCUGGAGCUCAUAAAUGUCUCUCUUCAACGAGGACAGAUUUUUGGAAUUUUAUCUCAAAUCAGGUAGGACUACCCGCUGAACUUAAGCAUAUCAAUAAGCGGAGGAAAAGAAACUAACAAGGAUUCCCCUAGUAACUGCGAGUGAAGCGGGAAAAGCUCAAAUUUAAAAUCUGGCGUGCCUCUGGUCG
RNAcentral lists this ribosomal RNA (734 nucleotides) under uncultured fungus. RNAcentral describes it as "eukaryotic LSU rRNA". The stretch from base 218 to 372 matches the Rfam family "5.8S ribosomal RNA". The record is from RNAcentral. Lineage: Eukaryota; Fungi.